RNAcentral lists this non-coding RNA (31 nucleotides) under Rattus norvegicus (Norway rat). Lineage: Eukaryota; Metazoa; Chordata; Mammalia; Rodentia; Muridae. The record is from RNAcentral.
UGAAUGCUUCUCUUUCCCUCCUCUGCAUCUA